UACGGGAGGCAGCAGUGGGGAAUAUUGCACAAUGGGGGGAACCCUGAUGCAGCCAUGCCGCGUGUGUGAAGAAGGCCUUCGGGUUGUAAAGCACUUUCAGCAAGGAGGAAGGCCGUAUGGUGAAUAGCCAUGCGGAUUGACGUUACUUGCAGAAGAAGCACCGGCUAACUCCGUGCCAGCAGCCGCGGUAAU
This 192-nucleotide ribosomal RNA is filed under the name uncultured Gammaproteobacteria bacterium. RNAcentral describes it as "partial 16S ribosomal RNA". It matches the Rfam family "Bacterial small subunit ribosomal RNA", at positions 340 to 524 of the family's 1533-position model. Lineage: Bacteria; Pseudomonadati; Pseudomonadota; Gammaproteobacteria. The record is from RNAcentral.